RNAcentral lists this ribosomal RNA (480 nucleotides) under Veillonella atypica. RNAcentral's name for it is "bacterial SSU rRNA". It matches the Rfam family "Bacterial small subunit ribosomal RNA", at positions 28 to 477 of the family's 1533-position model. The record is from RNAcentral. Lineage: Bacteria; Bacillati; Bacillota; Negativicutes; Veillonellales; Veillonellaceae.
GACGAACGCUGGCGGCGUGCUUAACACAUGCAAGUCGAACGAAGAGCGAUGGAAGCUUGCUUCUAUCAAUCUUAGUGGCGAACGGGUGAGUAACGCGUAAUCAACCUGCCCUUCAGAGGGGGACAACAGUUGGAAACGACUGCUAAUACCGCAUACGAUCCAAUCUCGGCAUCGGGACUGGAUGAAAGGUGGCCUCUAUUUAUAAGCUAUCACUGAAGGAGGGGAUUGCGUCUGAUUAGCUAGUUGGAGGGGUAACGGCCCACCAAGGCGAUGAUCAGUAGCCGGUCUGAGAGGAUGAACGGCCACAUUGGGACUGAGACACGGCCCAGACUCCUACGGGAGGCAGCAGUGGGGAAUCUUCCGCAAUGGACGAAAGUCUGACGGAGCAACGCCGCGUGAGUGAUGACGGCCUUCGGGUUGUAAAGCUCUGUUAAUCGGGACGAAUGAUUCUUGUGCAAAUAGUGCGAGGAUUUGACGGUA